GGGCGUAAGCGCACGCAGGCGGUCUGUUAAGUCAGAUGUGAAAUCCCCGGGCUUAACCUGGGAACUGCAUUUGAAACUGGCAGGCUUGAGUCUCGAAGAGGGGGGUAGAAUUCCAGGUGUAGCGGUGAAAUGCGUAGAGAUCUGGAGGAAUACCGGUGGCGAAGGCGGCCCCCUGGACGAAGACUGACGCUCAGGUGCGAAAGCGUGGGGAGCAAACAGGAUUAGAUACCCUGGUAGUCCACGCCGUAAACGAUGUCUACUUGGAGGUUGUGCCCUUGAGGCGUGGCUUCCGGAGCUAACGCGUUAAGUCCACCGCCUGGGGAGUACGGCCGCAAGGUUAAAACUCAAAUGAAUUGACGGGGGCCCGCACAAGCGGUGGAGCAUGUGGUUUAAUUCGAUGCAACGCGAAGAACCUUACCUGGCCUUGACAUCCAGAGAACUUAGCAGAGAUGCUUUGGUGCCUUCGGGAACUCUGAGACAGGUGCUGCAUGGCUGUCGUCAGCUCGUGUUGUGAGAUGUUGGGUUAAGUCCCGCAACGAGCGCAACCCUUAUCCUUUGUUGCCAG
RNAcentral lists this ribosomal RNA (565 nucleotides) under Pantoea agglomerans. RNAcentral's name for it is "bacterial SSU rRNA". It matches the Rfam family "Bacterial small subunit ribosomal RNA", at positions 556 to 1121 of the family's 1533-position model. Lineage: Bacteria; Pseudomonadati; Pseudomonadota; Gammaproteobacteria; Enterobacterales; Erwiniaceae. The record is from RNAcentral.